GAUGAACGCUGGCGGCGUGCCUAAUACAUGCAAGUCGAGCGAACGGACGAGAAGCUUGCUUCUCUGAUGUUAGCGGCGGACGGGUGAGUAACACGUGGAUAACCUACCUAUAAGACUGGGAUAACUUCGGGAAACCGGAGCUAAUACCGGAUGAUAUUUUGAACCGCAUGGUUCAAAAGUGAAAGACGGUCUUGCUGUCACUUAUAGAUGGAUCCGCGCUGCAUUAGCUAGUUGGUAAGGUAACGGCUUACCAAGGCAACGAUGCAUAGCCGACCUGAGAGGGUGAUCAGCCACACUGGAACUGAAACACGGUCCAGACUCCUACGGGAGGCAGCAGUAGGGAAUCUUCCGCAAUGGGCGAAAGCCUGACGGAGCAACGCCGCGUGAGUGAUGAAGGUCUUCGGAUCGUAAAACUCUGUUAUUAGGGAAGAACAUAUGUGUAAGUAACUGUGCACAUCUUGACGGUACCUAAUCAGAAAGCCACGGCUAACUACGUG
RNAcentral lists this ribosomal RNA (497 nucleotides) under uncultured bacterium. RNAcentral describes it as "partial 16S ribosomal RNA". It matches the Rfam family "Bacterial small subunit ribosomal RNA", at positions 28 to 507 of the family's 1533-position model. The record is from RNAcentral.